RNAcentral lists this ribosomal RNA (330 nucleotides) under uncultured Glomeromycotina. RNAcentral describes it as "eukaryotic LSU rRNA". Lineage: Eukaryota; Fungi; Glomeromycota. The record is from RNAcentral.
CAGUCGUACCUUCGGGUAAUCAGCCUUUUGGGUGUGAUUUUGUGGAGCGUGAAGAGUUAAACGCCUUCAUGCUUGCAUAUUCGUGCACUUUGGGUGUACUUGCCCGUAUGGUUGGUUAACAUCAAUUUUGGUGGUCAUAAAAUGACUGGAGGAAUGUAGCUUCGAUCUUGUAUUGAAGUGUUAUAGCCUUCGGUAGAUGUGAUGAUCAAGAUUGAGGAUUGCAACGGAUACCCUUCGGGGCUACCUGUCUGGUCUCUGAUCGUUGCUCUGGUGCCGAAAGCUUGCUUACGGUUAUCAAAGUCGAUGGUCAAUAGGUUAGAACGGGUUAAA